Molecule: ribosomal RNA, 382 nt
Filed under: uncultured eukaryote
Lineage: Eukaryota
Description: partial 18S ribosomal RNA
Rfam family: Eukaryotic small subunit ribosomal RNA
Source: RNAcentral
CAAUAGCGUAUAUUAAAGUUGUUGCAGUUAAAAAGCUCGUAGUUGGAUUUCUGGUGGGAGCGAUCGGUCUGGCGCUUAGCGCGAGUACUUGCAUCGUCUCCGGCCAUCCUUGGGGAGAGUCUGUCUGGCAUUAAGUUGUCGGGCAGAGGAUCCUCAUCGUUUACUGUGAAAAAAUAGAGUGUUCAAAGCAGGCUUAUGCCGUUGAAUAUAUUAGCAUGGAAUAAUAAGAUAGGACUUUGGUACUAUUUUGUUGGUUUGCGCACCAAAGUAAUGAUUAAUAGGGACAGUUGGGGGUAUUCGUAUUCCGUUGUCAGAGGUGAAAUUCUUGGAUUUACGGAAGACGAACUACUGCGAAAGCAUUUACCAAGGAUGUUUUUAUUAA